Molecule: ribosomal RNA, 453 nt
Filed under: uncultured Alphaproteobacteria bacterium
Lineage: Bacteria; Pseudomonadati; Pseudomonadota; Alphaproteobacteria
Description: bacterial SSU rRNA
Rfam family: Bacterial small subunit ribosomal RNA
Source: RNAcentral
UGGCGGCAUGCCUAACACAUGCAAGUCGAACGAAGGCUUCGGCCUUAGUGGCGCACGGGUGCGUAACGCGUGGGAAUCUGCCCAAAGGUACGGAAUAACUCCUCGAAAGGGGUGCUAAUACCGUAUGAUGUCGCAAGACCAAAGAUUUAUCGCCUUUGGAUGAGCCCGCGUAAGAUUAGCUUGUUGGUGGGGUAAAGGCCUACCAAGGCGACGAUCUUUAGCUGGUCUGAGAGGAUGAUCAGCCACACUGGGACUGAGACACGGCCCAGACUCCUACGGGAGGCAGCAGUGGGGAAUAUUGGACAAUGGGGGCAACCCUGAUCCAGCCAUGCCGCGUGAGUGAUGAAGGCCUUCGGGUUGUAAAGCUCUUUUGGCGAGGACGAUGAUGACGGUACCCGCAGAAUAAGCCCCGGCUAACUUCGUGCCAGCAGCCGCGGUAAGACGAAAGGGGCU